GAUGAACGCUGGCGGCGUGCCUAAUACAUGCAAGUCGAGCGAACUUCUUAAGAGCUUGCUCUUAAGAAGUUAGCGGCGGACGGGUGAGUAACACGUAGGUAACCUGCCUAUAAGACUGGGAUAACUCCGGGAAACCGGGGCUAAUACCGGAUAACAUUUUGCACCGCAUGGUGCGAAAUUGAAAGGCGGCUUCGGCUGUCACUUAUAGAUGGACCUGCGGCGCAUUAGCUAGUUGGUGAGGUAACGGCUCACCAAGGCGACGAUGCGUAGCCGACCGGAGAGUGUGAUCGGCCACACUGGGACUGAGACACGGCCCAGACUCCUACGGGAGGCAGCAGUAGGGAAUCUUCCGCAAUGGACGAAAGUCUGACGGAGCAACGCCGCGUGAGCGAUGAAGGCCUUCGGGUCGUAAAGCUCUGUUGUUAGGGAAGAACAAGUGCUAGUUGAAUAAGCUGGCACCUUGACGGUACCUAACCAGAAAGUCACGGCUAACUACGUGCCAGCAGCCGCGGUAA
RNAcentral lists this ribosomal RNA (515 nucleotides) under uncultured bacterium. RNAcentral's name for it is "partial 16S ribosomal RNA". It matches the Rfam family "Bacterial small subunit ribosomal RNA", at positions 28 to 523 of the family's 1533-position model. The record is from RNAcentral.